Molecule: long non-coding RNA, 3403 nt
Filed under: Medicago truncatula (barrel medic)
Lineage: Eukaryota; Viridiplantae; Streptophyta; Magnoliopsida; Fabales; Fabaceae
Description: long non-coding RNA (MTRU_LNC000549)
Source: RNAcentral
UUUUUUUAACCAAUAGUGACUUAUGAGAUUGUCUGACAUAUUGUUUUGCGAUAAAAAAACAUGCAAUAUAUUAUUAAUUGAUGAAAAUGGUGAUUGCAUCUAUAACACCCCGUUUUCCCAAUAUAAAAAUUUUUAAACAUUUAUCAGAGUAAACAACAUAAACAAACGGGAUAUCACAUUUAACAUAAUCCAAUAUCAGUUAAAUAACAAUUUAACCAAAUACUUAAACAAUGCAGCUGAAAUUAUCUCAUGAACCAUAAAAAUCGUUUUGGCACGUAGGCCCCAUCAAAAUAUCUCAACAGUUAACAACAAUAUAACAUAACGUAAUAGUUCACGUAAUAGAAUGAAGCAUGCAUGACAUAUAUCCCCAUCCCGUUACGUAUCAGAGCGACCUAGACGACUCAGUGAGGCAAGGCCACUCACAACAGCAGACUGCACACUUAAGCACGAUCACCUGCAAGUUACUCAUACGAAGAUCAACAUUUUCAAGCAGNUAUUUAUUUAUUUUAAUUGAGUUUAGAUGCCUUUUUAUAAUUUAAUCGAUUUAUUGUGAUGAGUGAUAUUUUGUUGUGUUAUAUGUUGGUAUUUAUUAGUAUAAUAUUAUAUUAUUUGGUGUAGAAAUAUAUGUUAUUUGGUGUAAAAAUAUAUGUUAUUUGAUGUGGAAAUAUAUGUAUUUGUUGUAGCAAUAUAUAUGUUAUAGAAAUAUAUCUGUUAUUUGUUAUAGAAAUAUUAUAUAUAUAUAUAUAUAUAUAUAUCUAUAUAUAUAUAUAUUAGAAUAGAAUGUGGAGACUUUGAGGAAAGAUUUAGAAAUAAGAGAAAAUAAGUAGGUUAAAGAUUUAUAUAAAAGGGGAGAGUUAGAAUUAAAAAAUAAGGAUUACGUGAAACCUGUUUUUGGAGAAAAAGGGAGAAAACCAAGAGAAGAGAAAAGUCAAGAGAAGAGAGGAGAACCUAGAAGAGUCUGCGAUAUCGAUUUUCUUAAGGUAAGGGUGGGACUAGUUUUCUGUAAUAAUGGGUUGUAUGAUUCUAAAAAGGGGUUUAACAUCUUGUUGUUUUGUUAGUUUUGAUGUUAUAGAAAUUAGGGUUAAAUUGCAAAAUUGAUGAUUUUCUAAAAUAAUGUUUUGGUUCAAAUUUUACAUGGUUUUGAGUCUCUUUUGAUGUAUAUAAAUGUUUAGACAAACUUUGGGAUCAAAAUUAGGCAUAAGGAAGUUAAAAUUGGGAUUUUGGGGUGAAAAAUUGAGUUUUUCCGAGAGCUAUCUGUUAUAACUCGCCAUGGCGAGUGAAUGUACUCGCCGGGGCGAGUGGCUCUCUGACAGCAUGCCCUGUUUCAAGUUCUUGCAUCUUUUUCACACGUUUCUGUUUUGAAUUGGCCUUUGGUGUAAACAUGAAAAUUGUAGAUAAUUGAGUUAGCUUUCCAGUGGCGUUGGUUUGACGUGAAAAUGAAUUUUGGUACUUGAGAUAUGAUGAAAAUACUCCAAGGAGGUCUUAGUGAAAUCUUAUGAAAAUUCAGCAUAACCGUUUCUAAGUUAAUCCAAAACUUAUGGAAUAAUUCCAAACCUCAAAACUAGAAAUACUAUGAAUUCAAUUAGGGUGUUUAAGAGUAUUUAAUCUAUCUUGUGAUGGAUCUAAUUUGGUUUGACGUGAAUAUCUUUGUUGGAUAAUUAGAAAUACAUAUAUUAUGUGAAUAUUGUAUGAUAUAGAAAUAUUGUUGUUCAUAGCAUUCAAGUUGUUGUUGUUAAUAUUGUUAUGAUCCAAGUUGUUAUUGUUGAUGUCAUUGUUGUUGUUGAUUGUAUUUAUUAUUGUUGUUCAGAGAGUCUGAAAUUAAGAUGAUUUAAUGGUGAUAGUAAUGUUGCUGUUGAUCAAGUUGCAGGUGUUGAUCUAAGUUGUAAAGUUGUAAGUUGUCUUUCCAAAGUGUUCCAAAGUAUUGGAGUCUUAAGUUGUUAAUGUUAUCUAAGUUGUUGAAGUCGUAGUUGAAGCUGUUGUUGGUGACUAUUUAUGUUCAGGUGUUUUGUGAGAGGUGAUGUACUCUUACGGUGUUGUUUUAUAAGAUGUGGUGUACUCUUACGUUGUUGUUGUAUAAGAGGUGGUGUACUCUUACGUUGUCGUAUUAUAAGAGGUGGUGUACUCUCACGUAGCUGUAUUGUCAGGUUGACGAUGUCGUCGUCGAAUCGUUGAAGUUGUUGUUGAUGACAAACCAUGAAAUAUUAAUGAUUAUAAUAUUGUUAUGUUGUUUAUGAUGUUGUUUAUGAGGUAAUUAUGUUGUUAUAUGAUGAUGUUUAUGUUGUGUUGUUUAUGUUGAUAUAAGAUGAUGUUUAUGAUGUGAUAAUUUAUGAUGUUAUAUGAUGAUGGUUAUGAUUUGAUUAUUAUGUGCUAUAUGAUGAUGUAUAUUGUAACACACCCCGUUUUCCCAACAUAAAAAUUUCAUUUAUUUAAUCAGUAAUUCACAUAAACGGAAUGUCACACUUCUUUUCUUAAAAUCAUAAACGGAAUAAUUAAUUAAUUAUCCUUCAAAAUUCAAUAACAUAAUAUUUAAUACUUCACAGCGGAAUUUAUUCGAACAUCUAAAAUAAUUUUGGCACGAAGAUCUCAUCAAAGUAUCUCAUAAAAAUUCAAUUAACAACUUAAUCAUGUAAAUUCAUAAGCAAUACGUAAGGAAUAGAAAAGCAUGCAACAAAGUUCCCAUCCUGUUACGUAUCAGAGCACCUAAAGACACACAUGAGAGAUUAUCCACUCACGACAGCAAUCUAACAGCAACUUAAACUCGAUCACNGUCUCACCCUUACCUUGUAUUGAAGAAAUCGUAGCCCUCUCUCUAGCCUUCUCUUGGUUUUCCUUCUUUUCCAAAAACAAACGUACGUGCAAUGUUUUUCUAAAACUAGGUCUAUCUCUUUUAUACCUCUUCCUAAUGUCUUAUCUUAUCUCACUUUCUUCCCCAAAACUCUCUAAAAUCUCAAAACAACCCUCAACUAAAUAUUUUUCAUAUUUUUAUUUUCUUAUCAAAUCUUAUUUUAUUUAACAAUAAAAUAAGCCUCAUAAUCUUAACAAAUCAUUAAAACACAUCCAAAAUAACUUAAAUCAUCUUAAAUCAACAAAACUCACACAUAUAUUAUAAAAUAUAAUAUAAUUGCCUAAACUCGAUUAAAUAAAUAAUUAAACGAAAGUGGGUGUUACAGCAUCAAUAUGACGUUUGAAUCCUUCAUCAGGCCUCAUGCCUAUCACCUUUUGUUUGACUUCCCUCCUUCCUCAUGCCUAUCACGCCUUUGGAUCCUUCAUCAGGCCCAAAUCCUUUGUGCGAAACCACACCCGGUUUGAUUCUGCUAAGCCAAAACGUCAAAACAGUGUUUCCGGUCUCUACUCGAUCAUCAUCUCAGCCUUGAUUCUAUCAGUUGACUUUGUCGGCAUGCCC